UACGUAGGGGGCAAGCGUUGUCCGGAAUUAUUGGGCGUAAAGAGUUCGUAGGCGGCAUGUAUUGUCGCGGGUUAAAGCUCCCGGCUCAACCGGGGAGGGCCAUUGGAAACUGGGAGGCUUGAGUAUAGGAGAGAAGAGUGGAAUUCCACGUGUAGCGGUGAAAUGCGUAGAGAUGUGGAGGAACACCAGUGGCGAAGGCGACUCUUUGGCCUAUAACUGACGCUGAGGCGCGAAAGCGUGGGGAGCAAACAGG
Molecule: unclassified non-coding RNA, 253 nt
Filed under: uncultured Caryophanales bacterium
Lineage: Bacteria; Bacillati; Bacillota; Bacilli; Caryophanales
Description: uncultured Bacillales bacterium contains 16S-23S intergenic spacer region
Rfam family: Bacterial small subunit ribosomal RNA
Source: RNAcentral